RNAcentral lists this ribosomal RNA (375 nucleotides) under uncultured prokaryote. RNAcentral describes it as "bacterial SSU rRNA". It matches the Rfam family "Bacterial small subunit ribosomal RNA", at positions 524 to 896 of the family's 1533-position model. The record is from RNAcentral.
UACGUAGGGUGCAAGCGUUGUCCGGAUUUAUUGGGCGUAAAGAGCUCGUAGGCGGUUAGACACGUCGGAUGUGAAAACUGGGGGCUCAACCCCCAGCCUGCAUUCGAUACGGUCUGACUAGAGUGUGGUAGGGGUAACUGGAAUUCCUGGUGUAGCGGUGAAAUGCGCAGAUAUCAGGAGGAACACCGAUGGCGAAGGCAGGUUACUGGGCCACCACUGACGCUGAGGAGCGAAAGCGUGGGGAGCAAACAGGAUUAGAUACCCUGGUAGUCCACGCCGUAAACGGUGGGCGCUAGAUGUGGGGACCAUUCCAUGGUUUCUGCGUCGCAGCUAACGCAUUAAGCGCCCCGCCUGGGGAGUACGGUCGCAAGACUA